AUUGAACGCUGGCGGCAGGCCUAACACAUGCAAGUCGAACGGUAACAGGAAGCAGCUUGCUGCUUCGCUGACGAGUGGCGGACGGGUGAGUAAUGUCUGGGAAGCUGCCUGAUGGAGGGGGAUAACUACUGGAAACGGUAGCUAAUACCGCAUAAUGUCGCAGGACCAAAGAGGGGGACCUUCGGGCCUCUUGCCAUCGGAUGUGCCCAGAUGGGAUUAGCUUGUUGGUGGGGUAACGGCUCACCAAGGCGACGAUCCCUAGCUGGUCUGAGAGGAUGACCAGCCACACUGGAACUGAGACACGGUCCAGACUCCUACGGGAGGCAGCAGUGGGGAAUAUUGCACAAUGGGCGCAAGCCUGAUGCAGCCAUGCCGCGUGUAUGAAGAAGGCCUUCGGGUUGUAAAGUACUUUCAGCGGGGAGGAAGGGAGUAAAGUUAAUACCUUGGCUCAUUGACGUUACCCGCAGAAGAAGCACCGGCUAACUCCGUG
Molecule: ribosomal RNA, 490 nt
Filed under: uncultured bacterium
Lineage: Bacteria
Description: partial 16S ribosomal RNA
Rfam family: Bacterial small subunit ribosomal RNA
Source: RNAcentral